Molecule: small nuclear RNA, 212 nt
Filed under: Mesocricetus auratus (golden hamster)
Lineage: Eukaryota; Metazoa; Chordata; Mammalia; Rodentia; Cricetidae
Description: 7SK RNA
Rfam family: 7SK RNA
About the family: 7SK was discovered as an abundant small nuclear RNA in the mid-70s but a possible function has only recently been suggested. Two independent studies have found that 7SK RNA binds the CDK9/cyclin T complex (known as elongation factor P-TEFb). P-TEFb activates transcription by phosphorylating the C-terminal domain of RNA polymerase II.
Source: Rfam by way of RNAcentral
GGGUUUCUGUCUCUGCUUCCAUCAGUCACUGGAUGAAGGUUCUAGGAUGAAGAGGACGACCUUCCCCGAAUAGAGGAAGACCGGUCUUCGGUCAAAGCUAUACUAGUAGCUGCGCUCCACUGCUAGAACCUCCAAACAAGCUCUCAAGGUCAAUAUCAAUGUUUUUAAUUGCAAUUUUCAAAAGAUAUUUACAAUUAAGUGAGUAGCUUUUU